RNAcentral lists this long non-coding RNA (615 nucleotides) under Anas platyrhynchos platyrhynchos (common mallard). RNAcentral's name for it is "lncRNA (ENSAPLG00000029521.1)". Lineage: Eukaryota; Metazoa; Chordata; Aves; Anseriformes; Anatidae. The record is from RNAcentral.
AUGCCCCCACGCGUGACCGUGGCCGCUCCUGCCCCCUGCCCUGCGCCCCCCCCGUGCGCCCCUCGCUGCCCCUGGCACCGCUCGGCACCGCUCCUGCCCCUUGCGGGGGGGUUUCGUGCCCCGUCCCGGCUCCGGGGGCUUGCGGAGGGGGGGAUGUAUGCGUGUGAGGAGGGGGGGGGGGGGCGGCCUCGCAGCGCCCCGCCGGAGCGGGGGGGUGGGGGGCUCGCCCUCUCCCAGCCCCGAAAUGACGCAGCCCCUGCUCCAGCAUCGGCUCCCGUUCGGGCUGGCUCCAUUUCAGGAGCUCCGUCUCCCCCCACCCCCUUCUUCCCAGCCUUCCUCCUUCCUCCUCCUCCUCGCCUCACCGUCACUCUCCCCCCGCCCCGCCGCCCCAAACUCCUUCCUCAGGACCGUGGGAUGCUGGCGAGCCCUGGCGAGAGUUGCCGGUCUCCAUUUCCAAGCGGGGAGCCGCCGGGAGCGCCUAUUUUAACAUUGCGGACGAGAUAGGCAGAAAAAGGAGCGUUUGACUCGGCCCACUCUGUUCUCCAGCCUUAUUACAUGGGGUUUUUGUCUCUCCAAGUCAUUCCUCAGCAUCGCCUUGAAUGGCAUCUACUGCAC